This 2752-nucleotide unclassified non-coding RNA is filed under the name Leishmania donovani. Its description in RNAcentral is "gene:LdHU3.28.3080(CDS-product:cullin_2_putative)". The record is from RNAcentral. Lineage: Eukaryota; Euglenozoa; Kinetoplastea; Trypanosomatida; Trypanosomatidae.
GUAGGUUUGCCUCUGUGUCGUAGAUCACCUUUUCUCAACUGCUGAUCAAAGACAUGAGCUGCUGUCGGGAGCUCGAGCACUCUCUGAACGAUCUUUUGAUCGAUUCAGUUUCCGUGCCUUUUGACUUCCCCAACUUGUGGAAAGAAGUUGCGAGCAGGUGUGGUAGCAUUUUGCAGUGGGAAACGAUUUUUAGAGGCAAGGGCGCUGCACAAGACAUGUGCAACACCGUGAUGGAUGCCUACCUCCUCGUUUACCAUCUUAUCUCACAUCCGUGCAGCAAUACGCCCCUGGUGAAGGUAAACGGGAAGGAAAUUUGGGAGGGCCAACAGAUCAUGGCUGUGUACUCCCUUCAAGGUGCAAUUUUUGAGAAGCACUUGCUGAACAACGUGAUGCCUGCUUUCUCUCAGGCUAGCAACGGCUCCACCAUUCAGACGUAUGUCCGCUCAUGGCGUUCUUUUCUGGUAGCCGUCGUCAACAUCAAAACCGUCUUUUCGUCGCUCGCCGACAAAUGGUCUCUGCUGGGUUUGGAGGACAAUCCGUUGGACAGGACGGAAGACAUUGCUUUGAGGAAGUGGUCGAGCGUAGUGCUGACACCAAGGAUGGUUUCCCAGCUCCGCAAAGAGCUCCGCGCACUUCUUGCAGAUGAGCGUGCCGGCCACGGUGCUCCGGAUCUAUCCUUUGCCGUGGAAAUCAAAGACGAACUGUCGAUGCUUCCCGACUCAAACUACUAUCGAAGUGUAGUAGAGGUGGACUAUAUUCGCGACAUGUGCGAUUACUGUUGGUCAAAAGUCCGCGGCGUCGUUGAGUCUGAUCUCUUCACCUAUGCAAAGCUGUGUCUGGGGCUGAUUGAGGAGGAGGUGAAGCGCGCAGAAAGGUUCCUCACAUCCAAGGACCACGCUGUGGAUCGGCUGGUGGAAACAUUGGUGGACGAUCGCAUAUCUGCCUUCGAGCGCGGCAGGCUUUCUCAGUGGCUUGGCUCGAUUGGUCAACGCGAGACAGACGAGAAACUGCAGACGGUGUUUCACCUUCUGUGGUGGAGCAAGUGUAAGGGCGCACCUCUCAUGGAGGGAAUGUUCAAAGAGAGCGUAGCACAGCACACAUCUACUGCGCUGACUGGAACAGUACGCGCUGCAGGCGAAGGCACUGACGUGUACGCCGCCGUUAUCGAGUGCUUUGCCUCUAUUAUUCGAAAGUACCGCGAUGUCGUUAUGACCAUUUUCGACUACAACGGCUGCAUGCUGGAGGCGAUGGACGAUGGGCUUCGGUGCGGCUUUACGAGUCUGCGUUCCUUUAACUACAAAAAACUUGCUGACCGGCUGGCAGCGUUCUCCAAUGCAAUUCUGGGGAACACAGGGUCCACGAAGCUUCGUCUCGAGGAUGUGGUGAGCGUGUACUACUUUUUGCCGGACGCCGAAAACGCCGCGAAGGAUGUCUUCCUCGUCUCUUACCAGAAGCAUCUCGCUAAGCGACUGCUCUUGCAUCACUAUGACGAGGCGAGAGAGCAGCGUUCGAUGGAGCAGCUGGUGCAGAUUAAACAAAGCCCUAUCCUCUUCUGCUGCCGAAGUAUGCUGAAGGCGACCACCACGCAGAGCAUCUACGUCGGCGCUUCGAGCGUGAAUGGGGUGAAGGUGAAUCCCGCUUUGCUCUCGAGAGGAACUUGGCCGAGCCUUCCGCACACCUUAGCGAGUUCCGGUGUAUCUGCUUCCGUACUGCGUCAGAUCGAAGGAGCACAGCGCAUCUGCAGCACGCGGCGGCAUGGGCAAAGGAUCGAGUUUUCGGCGCCCUACUCCUCUGCCGUGAUACGGAUGCUCCGACCAGCAGGGUCGACUGCGGCGGGAGACUCGGUCCAGUUGAAGGUUUCGUUCUUGCAAAUGUGCAUCAUUGAUCACUUCAACGCGAAAUCGCAGUGCACUGUGCAAGAGCUAUGCGAAUCCCUCCAAGUAUCGGAGGUGGAGUGCGCCUUUGCCUUGAAUCCGUUGGUAAGUGCCACAGUUCUCAAGCUUUCGGGAGCAAUGGAACCGAGCUCCAUCGUAUCGCUUGGCCCAUGUGAUAGCUCGAUUGGUGAUGUGAUCAACGUGAUGCCGCUGGAGUUUCACAGCUUCGCUCACCGCGUCGUUGUCAAAUCUCACGAGCAGCGCACGCUUCAGAGCGCGGCAAAGGCCAAUCCUCAAAGGAUGGAGAGCCAAGUUGUGCAUACGCUGAAGCAAAGUGGCUCGAAGACGGCCGAGGAGCUGAUGAAAUUUCUCACCUCUGCGAUGCAGCCUCUCAUCGUGUCGCGCGGCGAGCUGAAGCGCGUGCUGGAAAAGCUCAUUGAGCGCGGUCUUCUUGUCCGAGAUGACUCUCAGCGCAAGUUCGUGUACUCGCCGUAGGAACGGUGGCCUUGGACCAUCGGUGGCUACCGGGUCCAUGAGUCUCAGUGCCACGCACGUAGCCUUGUUAGCAGCGGAGAUGCUCGUGCAGAGUGCAAGGUGCUGCAGCACACCACUUUCCCCCUUUUUUGUGAGAAGGAUUGGUGAGGUUUCGACGAACUCCUGCGCUCGGUUGAGUUGGCACCUUUUUUUUUCCGCUUUGUCUGUUUCCGCUAUGGCGGGAGCGGGGCACUUCGACUUUGCAUUCUCUCCAAAUUCGUUUGCUCCCUGCCUGAAACUACUGUUGUCAUCGUUCCCGUUGUUGCGCAGUGCUACCGUGAUCGAAUGACAUCUAUUGAAUUCUUCUACUUAUUACUGCGAACAGUUUUCUAGCAGUGAUCACC